This 324-nucleotide ribosomal RNA is filed under the name uncultured eukaryote. RNAcentral's name for it is "partial 18S ribosomal RNA". It matches the Rfam family "Eukaryotic small subunit ribosomal RNA", at positions 1470 to 1796 of the family's 1831-position model. The record is from RNAcentral.
CCCCUAGAUGUUCUGGGCCGCACGCGCGCUACACUGAACAGUUCAACAAGUCUUAACCUUGGCCGAUAGGUCUGGGUAAUCUUUGAACGCUGUUCGUGAUUGGGAUAGACCUUUGCAAUUAUGGGUCUUCAACGAGGAAUUCCUAGUAAACGCAAGUCAUCAGCUUGCAUUGAUUACGUCCCUGCCCUUUGUACACACCGCCCGUCGCACCUACCGAUUGAAUGUUCCGGUGAAUAAUUCGGACUGCGGUUGCGGGGUCUGUACCACUGCAAUUGCGGGAAGUUUAGUGAACCUUAACAUUUAGAGGAAGGAGAAGUCGUAACA